AAAUGUUCAAGGCAGGUUUAUAGCUUAUCACAACCAGUUACAAAUUUAUUUGUUCCUUCUCCAUUCCCACUAUUUCACCUGACUGGUCUUAA
This is an unclassified non-coding RNA of Colobus angolensis palliatus, 92 nucleotides long. It matches the Rfam family "Y RNA". Rfam says of the family: Y RNAs are components of the Ro ribonucleoprotein particle (Ro RNP), in association with Ro60 and La proteins. The record is from Ensembl. NCBI's taxonomy places the organism in Eukaryota, Metazoa, Chordata, Mammalia, Primates, Cercopithecidae.